AUUGAACGCUGGCGGCAGGCCUAAUACAUGCAAGUCGAGCGAGCGGCGGACGGGUGACUAAUGUCUGGGAAACUGCCUGAUGGAGGGGGAUAACUACUGGAAACGGUAGCUAAUACCGCAUACCUUCAGAUGUGCCCAUGUGGGAUUAGCUGGUGGUUGGGGUAAUGGCUCACCUAGGCGACGAUCCCUAGCUGGUCUGAGAGGAUGACAGGCAACACUGGAACGGGGACACGGUCCAGACUCCUACGGGAGGAAGCAGUGGGGAAUAUUGCGCAAUGGGCGCAAGCCUGAUGCAGCCAGGCGGCGUGUGUGAAGAAGGCCUUCGGGUUGUAAAGCACUUUCUGCGAGGAGGCGUUACUCGCAGAAGAAGCACCGGCUAACUCCGUGCCAGCCGCCGCGGUAAUAC
Molecule: ribosomal RNA, 406 nt
Filed under: uncultured bacterium
Lineage: Bacteria
Description: partial 16S ribosomal RNA
Rfam family: Bacterial small subunit ribosomal RNA
Source: RNAcentral